This 2931-nucleotide ribosomal RNA is filed under the name Escherichia coli. RNAcentral's name for it is "bacterial LSU rRNA". It matches the Rfam family "Bacterial large subunit ribosomal RNA". The record is from RNAcentral. Lineage: Bacteria; Pseudomonadati; Pseudomonadota; Gammaproteobacteria; Enterobacterales; Enterobacteriaceae.
GGGUUGUGAGGUUAAGCGACUAAGCGUACACGGUGGAUGCCCUGGCAGUCAGAGGCGAUGAAGGACGUGCUAAUCUGCGAUAAGCGUCGGUAAGGUGAUAUGAACCGUUAUAACCGGCGAUUUCCGAAUGGGGAAACCCAGUGUGAUUCGUCACACUAUCAUUAACUGAAUCCAUAGGUUAAUGAGGCGAACCGGGGGAACUGAAACAUCUAAGUACCCCGAGGAAAAGAAAUCAACCGAGAUUCCCCCAGUAGCGGCGAGCGAACGGGGAGCAGCCCAGAGCCUGAAUCAGUGUGUGUGUUAGUGGAAGCGUCUGGAAAGGCGUGCGAUACAGGGUGACAGCCCCGUACACAAAAAUGCACAUGCUGUGAGCUCGAUGAGUAGGGCGGGACACGUGGUAUCCUGUCUGAAUAUGGGGGGACCAUCCUCCAAGGCUAAAUACUCCUGACUGACCGAUAGUGAACCAGUACCGUGAGGGAAAGGCGAAAAGAACCCCGGCGAGGGGAGUGAAAAAGAACCUGAAACCGUGUACGUACAAGCAGUGGGAGCACGCUUAGGCGUGUGACUGCGUACCUUUUGUAUAAUGGGUCAGCGACUUAUAUUCUGUAGCAAGGUUAACCGAAUAGGGGAGCCGAAGGGAAACCGAGUCUUAACUGGGCGUUAAGUUGCAGGGUAUAGACCCGAAACCCGGUGAUCUAGCCAUGGGCAGGUUGAAGGUUGGGUAACACUAACUGGAGGACCGAACCGACUAAUGUUGAAAAAUUAGCGGAUGACUUGUGGCUGGGGGUGAAAGGCCAAUCAAACCGGGAGAUAGCUGGUUCUCCCCGAAAGCUAUUUAGGUAGCGCCUCGUGAAUUCAUCUCCGGGGGUAGAGCACUGUUUCGGCAAGGGGGUCAUCCCGACUUACCAACCCGAUGCAAACUGCGAAUACCGGAGAAUGUUAUCACGGGAGACACACGGCGGGUGCUAACGUCCGUCGUGAAGAGGGAAACAACCCAGACCGCCAGCUAAGGUCCCAAAGUCAUGGUUAAGUGGGAAACGAUGUGGGAAGGCCCAGACAGCCAGGAUGUUGGCUUAGAAGCAGCCAUCAUUUAAAGAAAGCGUAAUAGCUCACUGGUCGAGUCGGCCUGCGCGGAAGAUGUAACGGGGCUAAACCAUGCACCGAAGCUGCGGCAGCGACGCUGAUGCGUUGUUGGGUAGGGGAGCGUUCUGUAAGCCUGUGAAGGUGUACUGUGAGGUAUGCUGGAGGUAUCAGAAGUGCGAAUGCUGACAUAAGUAACGAUAAAGCGGGUGAAAAGCCCGCUCGCCGGAAGACCAAGGGUUCCUGUCCAACGUUAAUCGGGGCAGGGUGAGUCGACCCCUAAGGCGAGGCCGAAAGGCGUAGUCGAUGGGAAACAGGUUAAUAUUCCUGUACUUGGUGUUACUGCGAAGGGGGGACGGAGAAGGCUAUGUUGGCCGGGCGACGGUUGUCCCGGUUUAAGCGUGUAGGCUGGUUUUCCAGGCAAAUCCGGAAAAUCAAGGCUGAGGCGUGAUGACGAGGCACUACGGUGCUGAAGCAACAAAUGCCCUGCUUCCAGGAAAAGCCUCUAAGCAUCAGGUAACAUCAAAUCGUACCCCAAACCGACACAGGUGGUCAGGUAGAGAAUACCAAGGCGCUUGAGAGAACUCGGGUGAAGGAACUAGGCAAAAUGGUGCCGUAACUUCGGGAGAAGGCACGCUGAUAUGUAGGUGAAGUCCCUCGCGGAUGGAGCUGAAAUCAGUCGAAGAUACCAGCUGGCUGCAACUGUUUAUUAAAAACACAGCACUGUGCAAACACGAAAGUGGACGUAUACGGUGUGACGCCUGCCCGGUGCCGGAAGGUUAAUUGAUGGGGUCAGCGCAAGCGAAGCUCUUGAUCGAAGCCCCGGUAAACGGCGGCCGUAACUAUAACGGUCCUAAGGUAGCGAAAUUCCUUGUCGGGUAAGUUCCGACCUGCACGAAUGGCGUAAUGAUGGCCAGGCUGUCUCCACCCGAGACUCAGUGAAAUUGAACUCGCUGUGAAGAUGCAGUGUACCCGCGGCAAGACGGAAAGACCCCGUGAACCUUUACUAUAGCUUGACACUGAACAUUGAGCCUUGAUGUGUAGGAUAGGUGGGAGGCUUUGAAGUGUGGACGCCAGUCUGCAUGGAGCCGACCUUGAAAUACCACCCUUUAAUGUUUGAUGUUCUAACGUUGACCCGUAAUCCGGGUUGCGGACAGUGUCUGGUGGGUAGUUUGACUGGGGCGGUCUCCUCCUAAAGAGUAACGGAGGAGCACGAAGGUUGGCUAAUCCUGGUCGGACAUCAGGAGGUUAGUGCAAUGGCAUAAGCCAGCUUGACUGCGAGCGUGACGGCGCGAGCAGGUGCGAAAGCAGGUCAUAGUGAUCCGGUGGUUCUGAAUGGAAGGGCCAUCGCUCAACGGAUAAAAGGUACUCCGGGGAUAACAGGCUGAUACCGCCCAAGAGUUCAUAUCGACGGCGGUGUUUGGCACCUCGAUGUCGGCUCAUCACAUCCUGGGGCUGAAGUAGGUCCCAAGGGUAUGGCUGUUCGCCAUUUAAAGUGGUACGCGAGCUGGGUUUAGAACGUCGUGAGACAGUUCGGUCCCUAUCUGCCGUGGGCGCUGGAGAACUGAGGGGGGCUGCUCCUAGUACGAGAGGACCGGAGUGGACGCAUCACUGGUGUUCGGGUUGUCAUGCCAAUGGCACUGCCCGGUAGCUAAAUGCGGAAGAGAUAAGUGCUGAAAGCAUCUAAGCACGAAACUUGCCCCGAGAUGAGUUCUCCCUGACUCCUUGAGAGUCCUGAAGGAACGUUGAAGACGACGACGUUGAUAGGCCGGAUGUGUAAGCGCAGCGAUGCGUUGAGCUAACCGGUACUAAUGAACCGUGAGGCUUAACCUUACAACGCCGAAGGUGUUU